UACGGAGGAUGCAAGCGUUAUCCGGAUUUAUUGGGUUUAAAGGGUGCGUAGGCUGUUCGACAAGUCAGGGGUGAAAGCCCGGCGCCUAACGCCGGAACUGCCUUUGAUACUGCCGAGCUGGAAUACGGAUGCCGUGGGAGGAAUGAGUAGUGUAGCGGUGAAAUGCAUAGAUAUUACUCAGAACACCGAUUGCGAAGGCAUCUCACGAAUCCGUCAUUGACGCUGAGGCACGAAAGCGUGGGGAU
This 245-nucleotide ribosomal RNA is filed under the name uncultured Flavobacteriaceae bacterium. RNAcentral describes it as "partial 16S ribosomal RNA". It matches the Rfam family "Bacterial small subunit ribosomal RNA", at positions 524 to 768 of the family's 1533-position model. Lineage: Bacteria; Pseudomonadati; Bacteroidota; Flavobacteriia; Flavobacteriales; Flavobacteriaceae. The record is from RNAcentral.